AUUGAACGCUGGCGGCAUGCCUUACACAUGCAAGUCGAACGGCAGCACGGGAGCAAUCCUGGUGGCGAGUGGCGAACGGGUGAGUAAUAUAUCGGAACGUGCCCAGUUGUGGGGAUAACGUAGCGAAAGCUACGCUAAUACCGCAUACGAUCUACGGAUGAAAGCGGGGGGAUCGCAAGACCUCGCGCGAUUGGAGCGGCCGAUAUCAGAUUAGGUAGUUGGUGAGGUAAAGGCUCACCAAGCCGACGAUCUGUAGCUGGUCUGAGAGGACGACCAGCCACACUGGGACUGAGACACGGCCCAGACUCCUACGGGAGGCAGCAGUGGGAAUUUUGGACAAUGGGCGCAAGCCUGAUCCAGCAAUGCCGCGUGCAGGAUGAAGGCC
This 385-nucleotide ribosomal RNA is filed under the name uncultured bacterium. Its description in RNAcentral is "bacterial SSU rRNA". It matches the Rfam family "Bacterial small subunit ribosomal RNA", at positions 30 to 416 of the family's 1533-position model. The record is from RNAcentral.